UUUGAUACAAAAUACAUGAACCUUAGAGUACAAGCUCGCAACAAAGCUGUGGCAGGGGAAUACUCUGAUCCUGUGACUCUGGAAACCAAAGCAUUUGUGUUCAGUUUGGACAGUACUUCAUCUCAUCUGAACUUGAAAG
Pygoscelis adeliae (Adelie penguin) is the source of this 139-nucleotide long non-coding RNA. RefSeq lists it as uncharacterized. The transcript is spliced from 2 exons. The record is from RefSeq and is a predicted model, not a curated record. Lineage: Eukaryota; Metazoa; Chordata; Aves; Sphenisciformes; Spheniscidae.